This 229-nucleotide ribosomal RNA is filed under the name uncultured archaeon. RNAcentral describes it as "partial 16S ribosomal RNA". It matches the Rfam family "Archaeal small subunit ribosomal RNA", at positions 24 to 246 of the family's 1478-position model. The record is from RNAcentral.
CCACUGCUGUUGGGGUUCGGCUAAGCCAUGCGAGUGGAGGGCGCGGUCGAAAGAUCGUGGCCCCGCACACGGCUCAGUAACACGUCGUCAACCCACCUUAGGGUGGGGGACAACCUCGGAAAACUGAGGAUAAUCCCCCAUAGGCGGGGGAGGCUAGAAUGCGCCCCCGCUGAAAGCUCAGGCGCCCUAGGACGGGACGGCGGCCUAUCAGGUAGUUGGUGGUGUGACG